Molecule: long non-coding RNA, 797 nt
Organism: Helianthus annuus (common sunflower)
Lineage: Eukaryota; Viridiplantae; Streptophyta; Magnoliopsida; Asterales; Asteraceae
Exons: 2
Source: RefSeq, a predicted model, not a curated record
AAGAAAUGUGUCACCAACGGCAGAUCACCUCUUUCUUCUCCAAAUCACCCUCUUCAACAUCCUCUCAUCCUCCUUCUCACUCACCAUCCUCUAUUUCUAACCCUAAACCUACAAAAAUGGCCCCUGCCACAUUCUUCUUCUACCUUCAACAAAACAUGGCUCCUUCUCUUUCUUUAUCUCCUGUCUCUGUGUCUCUCUCUCUCUGUGUUUCUCUGGGAUGAACGAGGAAGUCGAAGACGACGGCGGCGAAGACAUCGCUCCCGCCAUCGCACCUCGCGUUCGAAUCCAUCAUUGGGAAACCCUAGGGUUCCGACGAUUGUUGUGACCAAGAACCAGGCGCCGGCAAAAAUAGAAACAGAACCCCUAGGGUUUCGACGAAGACGAACUCCGGCAGUCGGAUUCUGGCCGUCACGGUGAUUUGGAUUCGGUCUGAGAUAACCCCCAGCAGAUUAGCGUCGUCUAGGGCCAGUGAACGGCGGCGAUUCAGUUGUUAAUUUGACCGGUUCCGACGAUUAGGUGAGUGUUUGCCCAGAAUCCGGUCACUACAGAACUCAGAACCGACGAGUAAGAAGUUGGAUUGUUGAUGGUAGAGCUAUUGCUAGAAAGGUUAAAACCUGUAGUGUGCCUUUGGUAAAUCAACUCAAAGACUGUGGAGCAAUCUAUCAACAAGCAAAUGGCUGUGUUGUUUUGUAAAUGUUUGUUAAGGCUUUGCAACCCAGGGGGUGUAGGUUCAAAUUCCAAUAUUCCAUCCACCUCUGUUUUUUUCUUUAAUAUUUAUCUUCUAAUUUCUGGGUUAA